Long non-coding RNA from Protobothrops mucrosquamatus (brown spotted pit viper), 267 nucleotides. RefSeq lists it as uncharacterized. NCBI's taxonomy places the organism in Eukaryota, Metazoa, Chordata, Lepidosauria, Squamata, Viperidae. The record is from RefSeq and is a predicted model, not a curated record. The transcript has 2 exons.
UUUCAUGGCAUUCAGCAUCUAAGGUAGUAUUCUCCCGACGUAAGGAUAGAACUUCUUGCUUCAUUCUCUGGCAUUCCUUAUCGAUUGGGAAAAUAAAGCAUUCUAAAGUAUUUUAAAGAUUUAAGCUUGAUUCAAAAAUGCUGAAGAAGAUCUAUAAAUCUCUGAGGAAAAGCAGAAAAAUCUACCAGAAGACUUUGCUGGAGUUUUAAACUACAUAGAAAAAAAGAAAAAAUUAAAUACACCUACCAAUGUAAUGUGUGUAAGAGC